UGGGGAAUCUUGCGCAAUGGGCGAAAGCCUGACGCAGCAACGCCGCGUGGGGGAUGAAGGCCUUCGGGUUGUAAACCCCUUUCAGCAGGAACGAAAUUGACGGUACCUGCAGAAGAAGCCCCGGCCAACUACGUGCCAGCAGCCGCGGUAAUACGUAGGGGGCGAGCGUUGUCCGGAUUCAUUGGGCGUAAAGAGCUCGUAGGCGGUUUGGCAAGUCAGGUGUGAAAACUCCAGGGCUCAACCUGGAGAGGCCACCUGAUACUGCUAUGACUUGAGUCUGGUAGGGGAGCACGGAAUUCCUGGUGUAGCGGUGAAAUGCGCAGAUAUCAGGAGGAACACCGGUGGCGAAGGCGGUGCUCUGGGCCAGUACUGACGCUGAGGAGCGAAAGCGUGGGGAGCAAACAGGAUUAGAUACCCUGGUAGUCCACGCCGUAAACGUUGGGCACUAGGUGUGGGACCUUAUCAACGGGUUCCGUGCCGUAGCUAACGCAUUAAGUGCCCCGCCUGGGGAGUACGGCCGCAA
Molecule: ribosomal RNA, 523 nt
Filed under: uncultured bacterium
Lineage: Bacteria
Description: bacterial SSU rRNA
Rfam family: Bacterial small subunit ribosomal RNA
Source: RNAcentral